AAUAACUGAAAAUAUCAAAUUUUUGUUAAGUUGAAAUUUAUGUUUAAUUUGUUUUGGUUAUGUAUGUUUGGGGAUAUUUUUGGACUUAAGGACUUAAUAAUUGUAUUGUGAGAAUAAUGUAAUGAUUUAUGAAAAUAUAGUUUGAUAAGAUAAAGAUGAUUGGUUGGUUGAGAAGAGAGAUUAUGUGAUUUAUUUGGGAAAAAAAGAAGAUAAAAAGGGAGAUUUUGUGGGUUUUAAAUGAGGAGAGAAAAUUUGUUUUAUUUGGUUGAGUCUGGAGAAAGAGGAAAAGGAAAAGAAAAAUAAUAAUUAAUGCUAUUAUUUUGUUUAAAUAUGGCAUAGGAAGUUGUGUUAUCUCCUUCAUUGGAAAAAAAAAGAAAGAAAAGGAGAAAACCCUAACACUAAUCCCGCCGUCGCCACCCCCUUUUGCAAACCGCCACCGUCGCCGCAACCGCCGUCAGUCCGAGCUGAUCGACUUCAUCAGGCGCGUCGCCUCCGUCGUUUGAAGUCGCGCUGCCGUCAUAGUCGAAUCGUGCGCAAGCGUCAGCCGUCACGUGGAGCACAUCACGCACGACAACGCUCCGUCAGCCAUCGCCUCCGUCUUCAGUUGUUCGCAGCGAAUCGAGUCGUCCGGCUUGCAGUAGCAACAUCGUCGCCGUCUUCGUCGUUGGUCUUAUCUGUCAACGAACCAUCAGCAGGCGUAACCCGAGUCAACCUGACAACAGCCGCCUGAGCCGUUCGAGCCGCGUGUGCGAGUUGUGCCUCCAACCGCCCGCAAGCGUCAAGUCGAGCCGCACGUGCGUUGUUUUGCUGAGUCGUGCCUAGAGUCUACCCGAGUGGAGCCACACGCGAGUCCUUAGCUGAGUCGACUAGCCAGUCCCUUCCUCCAGCUGAGCUGCCAGUCGGUUUUCCCCCUCCAGUCAAGCCAGUUGAGCUGCCAAGCUUCUUUUAACCCUAUUUUUGACCCAUUUUUCUUGGUAAGCCUUGGUAUGCUUGAUUUGGUUUAGUCUACCCAGCUAAGGUUUAUUUUGACCUUAACUAAGUUAAUUGUUGGAUUAAAUUGACUAUAGUUAACUGGAAGCCGAGCUGGGAAUUUGUCCAACUAAGUCUAAACCGAGUUAGGCCUUGAUCUUGGGACAUCGCUGCUUGGAAGGCGUGAUUUUACUGUUAAAUUUUGAUUGAUCUAAUCUCCAGUCAGAGGCAGAGAUAAGAGCAAAGGCAAGCUGGCGAGUGACCAGAAGUGAUCGUGGCGAGCCAUAGGGAUCUUUUACUUCCGCUUUAUGUCAUUGUUCAGAUUUUAAUGUUUGCAUUUUAUUUUAUUCUUUAUUUGUUAUUUUAUUUCUUUAAAACUAGAUA
This is a long non-coding RNA of Cucumis melo (muskmelon), 1353 nucleotides long. RefSeq lists it as uncharacterized. The record is from RefSeq and is a predicted model, not a curated record. The transcript is spliced from 3 exons. Lineage: Eukaryota; Viridiplantae; Streptophyta; Magnoliopsida; Cucurbitales; Cucurbitaceae.